GAUGAACGCUAGCGGCAGGCCUAAUACAUGCAAGACGAACGGUAAGUUGAGUAGCAAUACUUAGCCAAGAGUGUCGUACGGGUGCGUAACACGUAUGCAACCUACCCUAUACAGGAGGAUAGCCUAGGGAAACCUGGAUUAACCCUUCAUAGUAUUAUUGGAUGGCAUCAUUUGAUAAUUAAAACUGAGGUGGUAUAGGAUGGGCAUGCGUCUGAUUAGUUAGUUGGCGGGGUAAUGGCCCACCUAAGACGAUGAUCAGUAGGGGUUCUGAGAGGAAGAUCCCCCAACACUGGCACUGAGAUACGGGCCAGACUCCUACGGGAGCAGCAGUAGGGAAUAUUGGGUCAAUGGAUGCAAGUCUGAACCAGCCAUGCCGCGUGCAGGAAGAAGGCCUUUCUGGGUUGUAAACUGCUUUUGCCAGGGGAUAAAAUUUCCAUGCGUGGAAAACUGAAGGUACCUGGUGAAUAAGCCACGGCUAACUACGUGCCAGCAGCCGCGGUAAU
Molecule: ribosomal RNA, 503 nt
Filed under: uncultured bacterium
Lineage: Bacteria
Description: bacterial SSU rRNA
Rfam family: Bacterial small subunit ribosomal RNA
Source: RNAcentral